Molecule: long non-coding RNA, 6474 nt
Filed under: Phocoena sinus (vaquita)
Lineage: Eukaryota; Metazoa; Chordata; Mammalia; Artiodactyla; Phocoenidae
Description: lncRNA (ENSPSNG00000013135.1)
Source: RNAcentral
CAGAGAGGCAGCGGGACAGGGCUGAGGGUUGGCUACGCGGAGCUACCGGAUCGGUCCGAGAUGGCAGAGGUGGAGGAGACACUGAAGCGACUUCAGAGCCAGAAGGGCGUGCAGGGAAUCAUCGUUGUGAACACAGAAGGCAUUCCCAUCAAGAGCACCAUGGACAAUCCCACCACCACACAGUACGCCAACCUCAUGCACAACUUCAUCUUGAAGGCCCGGAGCACCGUGCGUGAAAUUGACCCCCAGAAUGACCUCACCUUCCUUCGAAUUCGCUCCAAGAAAAAUGAAAUUAUGGUUGCACCAGAUAAAGACUAUUUCCUGAUUGUGAUUCAGAAUCCAACCGAAUAAGCCGCUCUCUUGGCUCCCUGCGUCAUUCCUUAAUUUAAUGCCCCCUCAAGAAUAAUAGCAUUAAUCAUGUCAACUGACUGGCAUAUGGAAGUCACCUUAGAGCCCUCUCAGACCAAUCCGGCUGCAGCUCCACCUACCCCACCAAAGUCAUCUCUCUGCUGGCCAGUCGCACCUGAUUUUCCAGGAGGAAAAUCCCAUCCAGGUUUAUGGAGCAAGAGAUUGUGAGAAGCCCACACACCCUGUUUCCUUCUGACUUUGAGUUCACUUUGUUGCCCUUGGAAAAGGCUGUUUUUCUUUAACUAAAAAUAACCAAACCGCUUUCCCUGCUGUGUGUCUUUAAACACUAGGUUGAAAAGGCCUCCCUUCCUGUGUAAUCACGUGGUCUGAAGGCUGAGCCCGGUGCCCCCAUGGUGGAUUGUGCUCCAUACUGCACCUGUGGCCACACUUUCUGUGCUGGACCUGUUUUAUGACUGGUGUCCUGGUUUCUGGGCCUCUUGUCCCUAGCCACCCCUUUUAUCAUUUCUCACCCCCACCAAUGUUUUGAAAGGUUUUUUUUGACUACACUUAACUGGGGAAAGGAAAGGAAAGGAGUGAAAUUUGUUGAGUACCAGGUGUGGCUUAUAUCAUCCACAUAGUUCCCUACAGACGGAGUGGUAAAGCCAUCUUGAAGAUGAGGAAGUUGGGUUCUCAAGAAUGGCUUGCCUGAGGUCUCACAGCCGGGAGCACAGGUGUCUGACUCCAAAAGCUCUGCUCUUUCCACACUACCUUCCCCAGAAAUCCCAGAUGGUCUGGUUCACCCGAGUGAGCUCAUCCUGGAUAAGCAUCCACCUUCCCUUAGACUCGAGUCCUGGGGUGCGGUGGGGAUGAGGGGCUGCACCAGCCACUCAGGCUGUAGGCCACUCGUCAUCCAAACUAUGCUUGGGCCCUACCCUAGACCAAUUAAAUCAUAAUCCCUGAGAGUAAGCUCUGGGCAUCAUCAGUUUGUAAAAGCUCCCUGGACAUACAGCUAGGGUUGAGAACCACUGGCAUAGCCCUUCAUGCCCUGGUUAAGAGUACAGGAGGCUAUAGCAAAAAUAUCAUUCAGAGAUAAGAACUUCUGAAAGAUAAAAAAUGUGAAGGGAAUAAAUGCAACAGAAGAGUUGCAAGAUAAAGUUGAGAAAAUCUCCCAAAAGGUGGGGAAAAAAAUGGAAGAGAAAAGUUUAGAAGAUUAAAGGGUCAGUCCAGGAUAUUCAACAUCCGAUUAACAGGAGUUCCAGAAAGAGAAAGUGGGGUAGGAAAUUAUCAACAAGAGACUAUAAGAAUAUUUUCUAGAAGUAAGGACAUAAGUUUCCGCAUUGAAAGAUCUGAGUGUCUAGAGCAGUUAAUUUUAAAAAGACCCAUGCCAGGCCUCAUCAUCAUGAAAUCUCAGAACACUAUGGAUAGAUACGAUCCAGAGAGAGAAAAAAGAAAAACAGGGUACAAAGGAUUAGAAAUCACAACAGCACUGGGCAUCCCAACAGCAUCAUUAGAAACUAGAAGAGAAUGCCCUCAAAAUUCUGAUUAAAAAUAAUUUACAACCUAGAGUUCCAUACCCAGCCAAACUAUUAGCCAAGUGUAAGAAUAAGGUAAAUAUUUUCGGACAAUAGAAGGUCAUGUGUAUUUAUCUGCCAUGCACUGUUUCUCAGGAAGCUACCGAAGAAUGUACAUCAGAAUAAGGGAGUGAAGGAAAGAGUGUAAAGCAGAGUAUCCAGGCAAUUUGAGGCUCCAACACGAGAGAAAGUCAAAAGGGUUAUGUCAGGAUGGUGGUGAAGGGUGCUGGGUAGUAAACCUAGAAAGAAAUGCUGAAUGGGGUAGGAGGUUGUUUCCAAGAAGAAAACAAAACUGAUAGGUCAUCUCAGGUUUUUGAACACAUUCAGAGGAGAUUUUGAGCUUGAGUUUUCAGAGAAGUUUGAGAAGCCUAAACAUGCUUUGUUCAGGAGGCCUGAAAGGAAAGUCAAGGGCAGGAGGUGGGGAUUUGGGAGUCACUGUCAUGUUGGAGGCACUAAUGGGUGUGAAUGUGGACAUGACCAGGAUGACAUGAGAGGGCUGAAGAAAGCUGAGGGCCAAGGCAGGGUGAGAACGCUGAGGAGCAGCUGGAGGCUGGAAAGGCCAAGGGGAGGCAACCUCACCAGGUGACCGGCCAGCUCUAAGGGCCAGCAUCUGGGGAGGGCAGGGGCUAAGGACAUAGCAGGAGGGGAAGGGGGUGGCAACCCUGGCCCUGUCAUUCAGGGAGGUGGGGUGAGAACUGAGCACUCCUUGGCUAGAGAGAGAGAAGGGGACCAAGGGAGUGAGGCCCAGAGGAAGGAAAGGCCAGGUCCAAGGUCCCACGUGGGAAGUAAGGUUGGUGGUCAUGGCCUACACUUCCCAGUGAAUCCAGAAAGACUUCAAGGAGUAAGGGUGGGGUAGUCCCAGACAGAGGCUUGGGGACCCCUGGGUGGGUUUCAGAUCCUCCAAUCUCUGGAGAAUUCCAUUUAGAGUUCUGCAAACAGGAACAACCAACCCUUACUCAAAGAUGAUGACCCUGACUCAGACCUCAUUCCUCCUGGGUCCUCCCAACAUGAGGCCCAUUUUACAAGUGAGUUCACUGCCUUAAAUAAGAUGCCACAGCCCCAUGGUACCAAAGUUGGUCCAUCUGAUUCCAGGCCCUGUUUCCCCAGGACUCUUUUCCCUCCUGGUCACUCACUGAUCCUUGACCUCAGACAUAGGCUCUGUUACUGUCUCCAUUUUGCAGAUGAAGAAACUGAGGCUCCAGAGGGAAAGAAUUUGCUCAAAGUUAUGCAGUAAGUGGUAAAGGUACUUCAGACCCAGAUCUGUCUGCUGUUGUGUAAAGGAGCAAACAGAUGCUCAGAGAAGGAACCUGCCAUGGUCACACAGUAAUUGGUGGCCAACCCGGCCAGGGGUUGCUCCACCUUCAUGUGACAGGCCAGCCAAGGACAGCUCUCUGCCUUUCCUUAGGCCCAUGAGUCCCAGUCAGAAGCCACAGAACAGCACAGAUCAGACACUGCCCUGAGUUGACAUUGUUUCCCGACAAUCCUGAACAGUCCUCUUAGAGCCCCUUAGUGCCCAGUAGCAAUGAUCAAGCCAGACCCGGUCUGUGCACAUGGAGCAGGCGGGAGACCCACGCUCAGGUAGGCAGUGACUCAGAGAUGACACAGUGGGUACUCAGAGGAGAGGUCCUCGCCCAACAAGUAUUUACUGAGCACCUACCAUGUGCUACAUUCUGUCUAGGUGCUGGGACAGGAACCAAAUAUAUAGGAAAUGCUGCCCUUAAGGGGCUUGCAUGUUAGUGGGAAAGAGAAAUAAAACAAAAUACAUUUAAAAAACUAUAUAGCAUGUUAAAUUUAAGCCCACAAGUAGAUACUAUUACAUGACCACCAUAAUGGCUAAAAUUUUAAAAACUGGCAAUACCAAAUAUCAACAAGAAAGCAGAGCAACUGGAACUCCCAUAUAUUGUUGAUAGGAAUCUAAAAUGGAACAUUAGUUUCAGGUGUACAACAUAAUGAUUCAAUAUUUGUAUAUUGUGAAGUGAUCACCACAAUAAGUCUAGUUAACAUCUGCCAUACAUAGUUACAAAAUUUUUUUUGUCAUGAGAACUUUAAGGUGUACUCUUUUAGGAACUUUCAAAUAUAGACUACAGUAUUAUUAACCAUAGUCACCAUGCUGUACAUUAUAUGCCCAUGACUUUUAUAUGUUUAUUUUAUAACUGGAAGUUUGUAUCUUUGGGCACUCAUUUCACCAUGCCAUACCCCCAACCCCACCUCCAAUCUGUUCUGUUUUCUGUCUCUAUGAGCUUGUUUUUUUGUUCUAUUUGCUUGGUUUGUUGUGUGUGGGUUUGUUGUGGUGGUGGUGGGUUUUUUUUUUUUUUUUUUUUUUGCCGUACUGCAUGACUUGCAGGAUCUUAGUUCCCCUGCCAAGGAUUGAACCCGGGCCAUUGGCAGUGAGAAUGGGGAGUCCUAACCACUGGCUGCCAGGGAAUUCCCUUAUUUGCUUGUUUUUUAGAUACCACACAUAAGUGAGAUUAUGGUCCAUCCAUGUCUCAAAUGACAAGAUUUCCUUCCUUUUUAUGUCUGAAUAAUAAUAUUCCAUUGUAUAUAUAUGCUACAUUUUCUUCAUCUGUUCCUCUAUUGAUGGACACUUAGGUUGUAUCCAUAUCUUGGCUAUUGUAAAUAAUGCUACAAUGAACAUAAGGGGGUACAUAUAUCUUUUCAAGAUGGUGAUUUCAUUUCCUUUGGAUAAAGGAAAUACGUUAUCCAAAGUAUACUCAGAAGUGGAAUUGCUGGAUCAUAUGAUAGUUCUAUUUUUAAUUUUUUGAGGAGCCUCCAUGCUGUUUUCCAUAGUUGUUGGGACCAAUUUACAUUCCCACCAAUAGUGCACAAGGGUUCCCUUUUCUCCACAUCCUCACCAACACUUAUUUCUUGUCUUGAGAACAGCCAUUCUAACAGGUGUGAGGUGCUAUCUCAUUGUUUUCAAUUUGCAUUUCCCUGAUGAUUAGUGAUAUGGAGCACCUUUCAUGUACCUGUGUCUUUUUUGGAAAAAAUGUCUACUCAGAUCCUCUGCCCGUUUUUUUAAUUGGAUUGGUUUUUGCUAUUGAGUCAUAUAAGUUAUUUAUAUAUUUUGGAUAUUAACCCCUUAUCAGUUACAGGAUUGGCAGAAAUUUUCUCCUAUUUGGUGGAUUGUCUUUUCAUUUUGUUGAUGCACAGAAGCUUUUAAGUUUGAUGUAGUCCCAGUUGUUUAUUUUUGCUUCUGUUGCCUUUGCGUUUGGUGUCAAUUCCAAAAAAUCAUUGCCAAGACUGAUGUCAAGGAGCUUAUCAUCUAUGUUGUCUUCUAAGGGUUUUCUGGUUUCAGGUUUUACAUUCAAGUCUUUAAUCUAUGUUGAGUUGAUUUUUGUGUAUAGUGUAAGACAGUGGUCCAGUGUCAUUCUUUUGCGUGUGGCUGUCCAGUUUUCCCACGAAGAGACUGUUCUUUCCCCAUUGUGUAUUCUUGGCUUCUUUGUAGAUAAAUUGACCAGAUAUGCAUGGGUUUAUUUCCGGGCUCUCUAUUCUGUUCCACUGAUCUAUGUGUCUUUUUAUGUCAAUAUAAUAUUGUUUUAUAAUAGCUUUGUAAUAUAGUUUGAAAUCAGGGAGUGUAAUGCCUCCAGCUUUGUUCUUCUUUCUCAAGACUCCUUUGGCUAUUCAGGGUCUUUUGUGAUUCCAUACAAACCUUAUGUUAUUUUAUUUUUUAUUAUUUUUUAAAAUAAAUUUAUUUAUUUUUGGCUGCAUUGGGUCUUCGUUGCUGUGCGCGGGCUUUCUCUAGUUGUGGCGAGUGGGAGCUACUCUUCCUUGCAGUGCGUGGGCUUCUCAUUGCAGUGGCUUCUCUUGUUGCAGAGCACAGGCUCUAGGAGCACGGGCUUCAGUAGUUGUGGCACGUGGGCUCAGUAGUUGUGGUGCAUGGACUUAGUUGCUCCACAGCAUGUGGGAUCUUCCAAGACUAGGGCUCGAACCUGUGUCCCCUGCAUUGGCAGGAGGAUUCUUAACCACUGUGCCACCAGGGAAGACCCCCAUACAAAUUUUACAAUUGUUUGUUCUAUUUCUGUGAAAAAGGCCAUUGGAAUUUUAAUAGGGCUUGCACUGAACCUGUAGAUUGCUUUGGGUAGUAUGGACAUUUUAACAAUAUUAAUUCUUCCAAUCCAAAUGAGCACAGAAUAUCUUUCCAUUUAUUUAUGUCUACUUCAAGUUUUUUCAUUAGUGUCUUCUAAUUUUCAGUGUGCAGAUCUUUCACCUCCUUAGUUAAAUUUAUUCCUAGGUAAUUCAUUCAUUUUGAUGCAAUUUUAAAUGGAAUUGUUUUCUUAAUUUCUCUUUCUCAUAAUUUGUUAUUAGUGUAUAGGAAUGCAACAGAUUUUUAUAUAUUGAUUUUGUAUCCUGCAACUUUACUGAAUUUGUUUAUUAGUUCUAACAGUUUUUUUGGUUAAGUCUUUAGUGUUUUCUAUGUAUAAUAUGAUGUCAUCUGCAAAUAGUGACAGUUUUACUUCUUCUUUUCCCAUUUUGGAUAUCUUUUAUUUCUUUUUCUUGUCGAAUUGCUCUGGCUAUGACUUCCAAUACUAUGUUGAAUAAAUGUGAUGACAGUGGA